GGAGUUAGCCGGUGCUUCUUCUGCGAGUAACGUCACAGAUGUAAGGUAUUAACUUACACCCUUUCCUCCUCGCUGAAAGUGCUUUACAACCCGAAGGCCUUCUUCACACACGCGGCAUGGCUGCAUCAGGGUUUCCCCCAUUGUUCAAUAUUCCCCACUGCUGCCUCCCGUAGGAGUCUGGGCCGUGUCUCAGUCCCAGUGUGGCUGAUCAUCCUCUCAGACCAGCUAGGGAUCGUCGCCUAGGUGAGCCUUUACCUCACCUACUAGCUAAUCCCACCUGGGCUUAUCCAUCAGCGCAAGGCCCGAAGGUCCCCUGCUUUCCCCCGUAGGGCGUAUGCGGUAUUAGCAGUCGUUUCCAACUGUUAUCCCCCACAAAUGGGCAAAUUCCCAGGCAUUACUCACCCGUCCGCCGCUCGUCAUCUUCAAAAGCAAGCUUUUGAAAUGUUACCGCUCGACUUGCAUGUGUUAGGCCUGCCGCCAGCGUUCAAUCUGAGCCAGGAUCAAACUCUGA
RNAcentral lists this ribosomal RNA (511 nucleotides) under uncultured bacterium. Its description in RNAcentral is "partial 16S ribosomal RNA". The record is from RNAcentral.